RNAcentral lists this ribosomal RNA (1027 nucleotides) under Staphylotrichum limonisporum. RNAcentral's name for it is "SSU rRNA". It matches the Rfam family "Eukaryotic small subunit ribosomal RNA", at positions 78 to 1114 of the family's 1831-position model. The record is from RNAcentral. Lineage: Eukaryota; Fungi; Ascomycota; Sordariomycetes; Sordariales; Chaetomiaceae.
ACCGCGAAACUGCGAAUGGCUCAUUAAAUCAGUUAUCGUUUAUUUGAUAGUACCUUACUACAUGGAUAACCCGUGGUAAUUCUAGAGCUAAUACAUGCUGAAAAUCCCGACUUCGGAAGGGAUGUAUUUAUUAGAUUAAAAACCAAUGCCCUCCGGGGCUCUCUGGUGAUUCAUAAUAACUUCUCGAAUCGCACGGCCUUGCGCCGGCGAUGGUUCAUUCAAAUUUCUGCCCUAUCAACUUUCGACGGCUGGGUCUUGGCCAGCCGUGGUGACAACGGGUAACGGAGGGUUAGGGCUCGACCCCGGAGAAGGAGCCUGAGAAACGGCUACUACAUCCAAGGAAGGCAGCAGGCGCGCAAAUUACCCAAUCCCGACACGGGGAGGUAGUGACAAUAAAUACUGAUACAGGGCUCUUUUGGGUCUUGUAAUUGGAAUGAGUACAAUUUAAAUCCCUUAACGAGGAACAAUUGGAGGGCAAGUCUGGUGCCAGCAGCCGCGGUAAUUCCAGCUCCAAUAGCGUAUAUUAAAGUUGUUGAGGUUAAAAAGCUCGUAGUUGAACCUUGGGCCUAGCCGGCCGGUCCGCCUCACCGCGUGCACUGGCUCGGCUGGGUCUUUCCUUCUGGAGAACCGCAUGCCCUUCACUGGGUGUGCCGGGGAACCAGGACUUUUACUCUGAACAAAUUAGAUCGCUUAAAGAAGGCCUAUGCUCGAAUACAUUAGCAUGGAAUAAUAGAAUAGGACGUGUGGUUCUAUUUUGUUGGUUUCUAGGACCGCCGUAAUGAUUAAUAGGGACAGUCGGGGGCAUCAGUAUUCAAUUGUCAGAGGUGAAAUUCUUGGAUUUAUUGAAGACUAACUACUGCGAAAGCAUUUGCCAAGGAUGUUUUCAUUAAUCAGGAACGAAAGUUAGGGGAUCGAAGACGAUCAGAUACCGUCGUAGUCUUAACCAUAAACUAUGCCGAUUAGGGAUCGGACGGCGUUAUUUUUUGACCCGUUCGGCACCUUACGAUAAAUCAAAAUGUUUGGGCUC